CUUGAGAUCACUUUAUAGCUCCUUGACCUUUUGUAGAGGCUUUAUAACCUACUAGGACACUAGUGUGAUGUAUAACAGGCUUAGGAUUUCAGGGUAAGGCCCUUUAUGAUCCUGAGACCCCAGUGAGGUCUCAGAUCUAAUUUUCUUCAGUGGCUAGUGUUGUUUGGGUGUCAUCGGUAGCAUGAUUGGGGAUAGGAAGGGCCAGGGAUUUCCUAGGAGGAAUUUGACCAAAUUCCAACGAGUUUUGAGUUUUAGGGUUAGGCUUUAAAUCGAUAUUCGAAGGGUUCCAGGCAGAUUCGAAAAAGGUGACACACAUGGUUUGAAAGAGGAGAUCAAGAUGCCUCAGGGGUGUGAGUUUGGUGGGUUUUGGAAUUGGGUCGCCGGAGAUAAGGUUUCCGACGACCUUUCUGCGAAUAAUCGAGAGAGAAGGGGUUUAUUCAACGGGAACUAAACACAGGAUAGGAAAGAGGAGGUUGUGACGGUUUAGUGGUUUAAAUUUGGGGAGGUUUGAUUACCGGCCACCGCCGUUAGGCGAUUUUCGGCAGCAGCGUUAGGGUGGUAGGUGGGUAGUGAAUGGUGGUUGUGGGGUGGUCAAUGAAUGGUCAGCGGCGGUGUUACGUCGGGGAAGAUGGUAC
RNAcentral lists this long non-coding RNA (635 nucleotides) under Nicotiana benthamiana. RNAcentral's name for it is "long non-coding RNA (NBEN_LNC031319)". Lineage: Eukaryota; Viridiplantae; Streptophyta; Magnoliopsida; Solanales; Solanaceae. The record is from RNAcentral.